Molecule: ribosomal RNA, 335 nt
Filed under: uncultured Streptococcus sp.
Lineage: Bacteria; Bacillati; Bacillota; Bacilli; Lactobacillales; Streptococcaceae
Description: bacterial SSU rRNA
Rfam family: Bacterial small subunit ribosomal RNA
Source: RNAcentral
AUGGUUGUCGUCAGCUCGUGUCGUGAGAUGUUGGGUUAAGUCCCGCAACGAGCGCAACCCCUAUUGUUAGUUGCCAUCAUUCAGUUGGGCACUCUAGCGAGACUGCCGGUAAUAAACCGGAGGAAGGUGGGAUGACGUCAAAUCAUCAUGCCCCUUAUGACCUGGGCUACACACGUGCUACAAUGGUUGGUACAACGAGUUGCGAGUCGGUGACGGCGAGCUAAUCUCUUAAAGCCAAUCUCAGUUCGGAUUGUAGGCUGCAACUCGCCUACAUGAAGUCGGAAUCGCUAGUAAUCGCGGAUCAGCACGCCGCGGUGAAUACGUUCCCGGGCCUU